UGUGUGAGUUUUGUUCUGGUAAGUCUUUGUGUACUUAAACGUAUUCAACUUAUAUUUUGUCUUAUUUGGAUCAUUUAGUCAGAAGAACAGAAAAAAAUGAACGAAGAGGGUCUAUUGCACAAAAAAAGCUCAAUCUCAUUGACAAAUCUCUUCAUGAAUAAAAAUGCAACUGAUAUUUUUCUAUCCAAUUCAUAUUUUAACUAA
This 204-nucleotide long non-coding RNA is filed under the name Mytilus galloprovincialis (Mediterranean mussel). The record is from RNAcentral. Lineage: Eukaryota; Metazoa; Mollusca; Bivalvia; Mytilida; Mytilidae.